Daphnia magna is the source of this 373-nucleotide long non-coding RNA. RefSeq lists it as uncharacterized. The transcript is spliced from 3 exons. The record is from RefSeq and is a predicted model, not a curated record. Lineage: Eukaryota; Metazoa; Arthropoda; Branchiopoda; Diplostraca; Daphniidae.
CGUUCCGUCUGAGAUAUUAUAGCCUGUCAAACUGCGAUCGCAGUUAGUCACCGUAAAUUGGCUGUGUCUUUAAACGUUACCAAUUCCGGAAGGUGGGUUAUUAUCCAACCUCCUGGCAUCUCUAGCUCAGAUUGAGCACUUUCUUUGUCCUGGGUCCCCUGACUCGUUAUAUAUAUCUUGUUGUGCAUUGGAUGUCGUGUGUGUGCCCUCUACGUGUCACCUGCAUUUUACAACGGGAACCGUAUUGUCAAAUAUACUCCUUGGCUACACACAAUCCAACAUUCUUGCAACAACCCUCGACUUGCUACUCAACUGCUGCUUACAACAGCAGACUCGAUACGUUGAGCCAUCGACAAGUCAGGUUCCAACAGUA